CCUAGAGGGGGACAACAGUUGGAAACGACUGCUAAUACCGCAUACGAUCUAAUCUCGGCAUCGAGGAUAGAUGAAAGGUGGUCUCUACAUGUAAGCUAUCACUGAAGGAGGGGAUUGCGUCUGAUUAGCUAGUUGGAGGGGUAACGGCCCACCAAGGCGAUGAUCAGUAGCCGGUCUGAGAGGAUGAACGGCCACAUUGGGACUGAGACACGGCCCAG
Molecule: ribosomal RNA, 218 nt
Filed under: uncultured bacterium
Lineage: Bacteria
Description: partial 16S ribosomal RNA
Rfam family: Bacterial small subunit ribosomal RNA
Source: RNAcentral